Molecule: long non-coding RNA, 1981 nt
Organism: Lactuca sativa (garden lettuce)
Lineage: Eukaryota; Viridiplantae; Streptophyta; Magnoliopsida; Asterales; Asteraceae
Source: RefSeq, a predicted model, not a curated record
UCCCAAUUAUUUAACAUUUUGCUAACGAAAAAGUUCUUUUUUAUAUUUUAACAGGAAAUGAUAGAUUAUGUGAUUUUCCCUAAAUAAUGAGACUUUUCUGUUCAAAAAAAACUUUUAGGACUUUAUCAAAAAUUUCCUGAAAUAUUGAGACUUUUCUGCAAAAAACCUUAUGGUUUUAACUUUUUUUUUCUUAGGACAUAAAAUUUACCCGUGAAAAUUGCUUUGUCUUCGGAUGAUAUUGCUAAAAAUAAUUGCAUGGAUUUCUCAAAGUAGAAUGCUGAUAGAUGAUACAAGUAUAAAUGUAUGAUGUCAUAUUAAAGAAAUCAAUGAAAGUAUGUUGCUAUUUCUGGCAUUUAGCCAAAUGAUAAAAAACAUAGAUUUACGAUUUUACCUGGAUAGGAUAAAAUGACCCAUUCCAAUCUGAAUUUCUUUUAUGUGUGGCAUCACGAGAUGGAGUCAAAUUAAGAACAUAGAUUAGUGUCAUGAGGACUAUAGAAAUGGUGUAAGGAUAUGACAAGUCUAAUGUAACCAACUGAUUUGAUAUGGCAUUAGCUGCAAAGCUUGAACCCAUUGCUUUCGUUGUAAUCACUCAAUUAUUUUGUUGGAUAAUUGGCAGCUUAAAGUUGAGCAGUAUCAAAUUAUAAAAUUAGUCGACUAGUUUUCUUCUUUCUAAACCUGUCAGCUUUAGUUGUCUGACUAUCUAAAUGUUUAUCUUGCCUGCCAUUAUUCAUCAUGCUUAUGCUCAUGCGUUUAGAGGUUCUAUCGCAAGGAACCAUGUUAUGUUAUGUUAUGUAUAACAUCUUCUUAUUUUGAUGAGUGUCUAAUCAUCAUAUCUCAAGCAAACACUUGUUGUAAAGCAUGCCAUAAGGGUGUUGUAGCACAGUUAAGUUAGUAAUUCGAGAAAGAAACAGGUAGGUCUCCAAAGCCGAGUUCAAGACUCGAUACUUUUAUUCAUAAUCAAACAAAAUAUAUAUAUAUAUAUAUAUAUAUAUAUAUAUAUAUAUAUAUAUAUAUAUAUAUAUAUAUAUAUAUAUAUAUAUAUAUAUAUAUUAAAAUUAAAAAAAGACAAAACAGCACAAAUGGUCCCCGUGGUUUGCUCAAAAUUGCCACUUUGGUCUAAAAAAGUUUGGACUAGCACCAGAGGUCCAAACUUUACAUUUUGUUGCUUGUUUAGUCCAUUCUAUUCUGAUUUUUUUCAAAAGGACGGAUUUGCCCCUGUUAAUAUGAUUUUCUUUUUUGUUUUCUUAAUUGUUUUUUGUGAUUCUGAUUUUCAGAUUUAAAAAAAUAAAAAAUAAAAAUAAAUCACUCACUCUCUCUCUCUCCAAUUACCCAUCUUCCUGAAAAUCGUCCAGAUGAACAAAAAAAAACACCUAGAACAAAUUGUUGAACACAUCAAUUCUCAAUGGAGAUGGAGAAAAGAGAAUGAGAAAUCAUAUCUAAGGAUCAACACCACACCCUUCUCAGUUCAUCUUCACCAUCUGUGGCUCGAUUUUCAGUGUCACCGAAAAACCCACCCCAACCACACCCUCCACUCCUCCAGUACCACGGUAUCAGAAGACGAAAUAGAGGGCAGAUCGAAUAAGGGAGAAAGAAGAAAACAAAAUCGUGAAAACGAAAUCAGAUCGAGUUCGUGGGUUCUUGGGCUCUUCAUCUGAACACACAGACGGUGAUCUGAAGACGAAACGACAGAGGAAAAAACCCUGAAUCGAAAUCUGCUUCUCUACUUCAUCUCUCUGACGAUAGUCUUCAGUCUUGAGCUCAUGUCUCUGAUCUCCUCCUCAGACAAGAACAGAUCAGAUCUGAGCCAGUGAAGUCUGAAAUCUUUCUUCAGAUCUGUCGAUCUGAAACCCCUCCUCCUCUUCAUAUCUAGUCAUCAAACUUUCUUUCAUCUUUUUUAUUCCUGUAAACAACCAUCGAAGCAUAAAUCCAAUUACACAGUCUUGAUUUGUUUAACAUUUAUAAUUAAAUAAAAGAAAAAGAA